RNAcentral lists this ribosomal RNA (301 nucleotides) under uncultured bacterium. Its description in RNAcentral is "partial 16S ribosomal RNA". It matches the Rfam family "Bacterial small subunit ribosomal RNA", at positions 509 to 807 of the family's 1533-position model. The record is from RNAcentral.
CAGCAGCCACGGUAAUACGUAGGGUCCGAGCGUUGUCCGGAAUUAUUGGGCGUAAAGGGCUCGUAGGCGGUUUGUUGCGUCGGGAGUGAAAACCCAGGGCUUAACUUUGGGCUUGCUUUCGAUACGGGCAGACUUGAGGCAUUGAGGGGAGAACGGAAUUCCUGGUGUAGCGGUGAAAUGCGCAGAUAUCAGGAGGAACACCAGUGGCGAAGGCGACUGACUGGACAAGUAUUGACGCUGAGGUGCGAAAGCGUGGGGAGCAAACAGGAUUAGAUACCCCUGUAGUCCCUGUCUCUUAUAC